CUGGUCGAGUCGGCCUGCGCGGAAGAUGUAACGGGGCUAAACCAUGCACCGAAGCUGCGGCAGCGACGCUUAUGCGUUGUUGGGUAGGGGAGCGUUCUGUAAGCCUGCGAAGGUGGCCUGUGAGGGUUGCUGGAGGUAUCAGAAGUGCGAAUGCUGACAUAAGUAACGAUAAAGCGGGUGAAAAGCCCGCUCGCCGGAAGACCAAGGGUUCCUGUCCAACGUUAAUCGGGGCAGGGUGAGUCGACCCCUAAGGCGAGGCCGAAAGGCGUAGUCGAUGGGAAACGGGUUAAUAUUCCCGUACUUGGUGUUACUGCGAAGGGGGGACGGAGAAGGCUAUGUUGGCCGGGCGACGGUUGUCCCGGUUUAAGCGUGUAGGUGUGUGUUCCAGGUAAAUCCGGUUCACUUUAACACUGAGGCGUGACGACGAGGCACUACGGUGCUGAAGCAACAAAUGCCCUGCUUCCAGGAAAAGCCUCUAAGCAUCAGGUAACAUCAAAUCGUACCCCAAACCGACACAGGUGGUCAGGUAGAGAAUACCAAGGCGCUUGAGAGAACUCGGGUGAAGGAACUAGGCAAAAUGGUGCCGUAACUUCGGGAGAAGGCACGCUGACACGUAGGUGAAGUGAUUUACUCAUGGAGCUGAAGUCAGUCGAAGAUACCAGCUGGCUGCAACUGUUUAUUAAAAACACAGCACUGUGCAAACACGAAAGUGGACGUAUACGGUGUGACGCCUGCCCGGUGCCGGAAGGUUAAUUGAUGGGGUCAGCGCAAGCGAAGCUCCUGAUCGAAGCCCCGGUAAACGGCGGCCGUAACUAUAACGGUCCUAAGGUAGCGAAAUUCCUUGUCGGGUAAGUUCCGACCUGCACGAAUGGCGUAAUGAUGGCCAGGCUGUCUCCACCCGAGACUCAGUGAAAUUGAACUCGCUGUGAAGAUGCAGUGUACCCGCGGCAAGACGGAAAGACCCCGUGAACCUUUACUAUAGCUUGACACUGAACAUUGAGCCUUGAUGUGUAGGAUAGGUGGGAGGCUUUGAAGUGUGGACGCCAGUCUGCAUGGAGCCGACCUUGAAAUACCACCCUUUAAUGUUUGAUGUUCUAACGUGGACCCGUUACCCGGGUUGCGGACAGUGUCUGGUGGGUAGUUUGACUGGGGCGGUCUCCUCCUAAAGAGUAACGGAGGAGCACGAAGGUUGGCUAAUCCUGGUCGGACAUCAGGAGGUUAGUGCAAUGGCAUAAGCCAGCUUGACUGCGAGCGUGACGGCGCGAGCAGGUGCGAAAGCAGGUCAUAGUGAUCCGGUGGUUCUGAAUGGAAGGGCCAUCGCUCAACGGAUAAAAGGUACUCCGGGGAUAACAGGCUGAUACCGCCCAAGAGUUCAUAUCGACGGCGGUGUUUGGCACCUCGAUGUCGGCUCAUCACAUCCUGGGGCUGAAGUAGGUCCCAAGGGUAUGGCUGUUCGCCAUUUAAAGUGGUACGCGAGCUGGGUUUAGAACGUCGUGAGACAGUUCGGUCCCUAUCUGCCGUGGGCGCUGGAGAACUGAGGGGGGCUGCUCCUAGUACGAGAGGACCGGAGUGGACGCAUCACUGGUGUUCGGGUUGUCAUGCCAAUGGCACUGCCCGGUAGCUAAAUGCGGAAGAGAUAAGUGCUGAAAGCAUCUAAGCACGAAACUUGCCCCGAG
Molecule: ribosomal RNA, 1676 nt
Filed under: Salmonella enterica
Lineage: Bacteria; Pseudomonadati; Pseudomonadota; Gammaproteobacteria; Enterobacterales; Enterobacteriaceae
Description: partial 23S ribosomal RNA
Rfam family: Bacterial large subunit ribosomal RNA
Source: RNAcentral